AACGCGAAGAACCUACCCUUGACAUGGAUGGAAUCCCGAAGAGAUUUGGGAGUGCUCGAAAGAGAACCAUCACACAGGUGCUGCAUGGCUGUCGUCAGCUCGUGUCGUGAGAUGUUGGGUUAAGUCCCGCAACGAGCGCAACCCUUGUCAUUAGUUGCUACGAAAGGGCACUCUAAUGAGACUGCCGGUGACAAACCGGAGGAAGGUGGGGAUGACGUCAAGUCCUCAUGGCCCUUAUGGGUAGGGCUUCACACGUCAUACAAUGGUACAUACAGAGGGCCGCCAACCCGCGAGGGGGAGCUAAUCCCAGAAAGUGUAUCGUAGUCCGGAUUGGAGUCUGCAACUCGACUCCAUGAAGUUGGAAUCGCUAGUAAUCGCGGAUCAGCAUGUCGCGGUGAAUACGUUCCCGGGUCUUGUACACACGC
This 425-nucleotide ribosomal RNA is filed under the name uncultured bacterium. RNAcentral describes it as "bacterial SSU rRNA". It matches the Rfam family "Bacterial small subunit ribosomal RNA", at positions 958 to 1393 of the family's 1533-position model. The record is from RNAcentral.